This 177-nucleotide non-coding RNA is filed under the name Bacillota bacterium. RNAcentral's name for it is "6S RNA". It matches the Rfam family "6S / SsrS RNA". Rfam says of the family: E. coli 6S RNA was the first non coding RNA to be sequenced, but its function was unknown until recently. It consists of 184 nucleotides that fold into an extended hairpin structure with a large single-stranded internal bulge. Lineage: Bacteria; Bacillati; Bacillota. RNAcentral also lists the same sequence under 1 other name. The record is from RNAcentral.
GUUGUUCUACUGUGUGCGUGAUGAUUAUACAAUUUUUGACCAACACCUACACAUAGGGAGCCUGGACUCUAUCUGCGGCGCAUAUGCCUUUUUGCAGGACAUGUAAACCAGAUAGGAGGGCACCCACCUGGAAGAUAGGGAUCAAAAACAGUGAUCACACGGCAUGGUGGAACAUAC